Molecule: non-coding RNA, 1300 nt
Organism: Pelobates cultripes (western spadefoot toad)
Lineage: Eukaryota; Metazoa; Chordata; Amphibia; Anura; Pelobatidae
Source: the annotation of a GenBank genome assembly
GCAGGCUCCUCCAAGAGUUCAUGGCAAACUCGCUUGGAAAGGGGAAUUUGUCACACUGAGUUUAUUAUUUUUCCUCAUAACCCUGAUCCUCCUCCUUCAUUCUCCCUGCAGGUUGACUGUACCUGCCUCACCCCAUUCUUUCAAGAUCGCUGUCUUGGUGUCACUUUUGAUCCUGGCCUCAGCUUUGCACCUUAUGUCCAGUCUGUUGCUAAAAUCUGUCGAUUCCAACUUAAAAACAUUGCUCGCAUACACCCUUUUCUUAAGCAAGAUGCUGCCAAGGAGCUUGUUCACGCUCUAGUAAUCUCUCGCAUCAAUUACUGUAAUUCUCUUCUAAUUGGUCUCCCCAGAAGCCGCCCCUUACAAUCUGUGGUGAAUGCUGCUUUCUCUCCUGUCACUCCUCUCACACCUCACCCCUCUUUUGAUCCUUACACUGGAUUCCUGUCUCCUACAGGUGUCAAUUUAAAAUACUAACCAUUACCUAUAAACCUAUAACCCCUCUAACAUUUCUUCAGUUAUUCAUAGGUAUGCCCCCUCUUGGGCUCUCCGCUCUACUGGCGACCUUCUUUCUGCUGCUCGCAGCCUUACUGCAAAUUCACGCCUGCAAGACUUCUCACGGGCGGCUCCUUUCUUUUGGAACAGCCUCCCUACCCCUGUCAGACUCUCUCCUAGUUCUCAAUCAUUUAAAAAGUCCCUCAAAACCCAUCUUUUCAGGAUUGAUUAUGUCCUCUCUCUCUCUCUCCUAUAGGGUCACACUCCACUCUCCCUUCCAGUUCUGCUACUUUGCCACCAUGUCUCUCAAUACCCUUCCUAUUGUGUUUUUAUACCCCACCUCCUGUAGACUGUAAGCUUGUUUGAGCAGAGUCCUCAACUACCUAUUCCUGUUAUAUUUUGUUAUUGUCUCAUUUGGUAAAUUCCCCUUUUAUUGUAAUGCGCUGCGGAAUAAGCUGGCGCUAUAUAAAUACCAAUUAUAAUUGUACAUGUCUAGCCUCCUUAGUGUAUUUUUGGUUCUUGCGUAAAUGGUGUGUAUGAAUAUAAUUUCAGGUUUGGUGUUCAGGGAUGUCUUUUAUAUGGUGUGUUUGCAAGUUGUGUUGGUGUUUGAUUGCUAGGAUGUCUGCACAUGCACACUUACACAGAUAUACAUACACAUAAACUAACACACAGAUACACACAAUGGCACAUACAUACACUGACAAAUAUACUGAAGCACAUAGACAUGGAUACACACUUUGGCACAAAUAAAUCCACACAUAAACAUUUGCUGUGUGUGUGUGUGUGUGUGUGUGUGUGUGUAUAUAUGUAU